GUUUAAAGAAAAUAAACAACUUUUAUUUGUAUAUUACGUUUAGCCAAGCACGAUCGCACGACUGCUCACGAUAAUGCCAAUUUGCCAAAUGUCUGCUAGCAGACGACGUAAGAGUCACCAUCAUGGCCGCCAUUGAUUUUUUUAAAUUUCCUAGAAGCUUAUAACUACGGGGUUUACCCAAAUCACAAAUAAUACUGGCUGAAAUAGGAAAGCCUGAAGUAGCAAUCAAAACGCACAUUUGUAAUGUUUGGCAUUUAACAAUAAAUUCAAUUUGUAUUUCAAUCUGUAUAUAAAGAGCUUAUUAAAUAGGUUUCUUUUUUUUUUUCAUAAAAGGCCAAGACUUCUCUAAGACUAUGGAAUCACAAACAAACGUUAUACUUGGAUCCUUUGUUGGAU
This is a long non-coding RNA of Daphnia pulex (common water flea), 396 nucleotides long. RefSeq lists it as uncharacterized. The record is from RefSeq and is a predicted model, not a curated record. The transcript is spliced from 2 exons. NCBI's taxonomy places the organism in Eukaryota, Metazoa, Arthropoda, Branchiopoda, Diplostraca, Daphniidae.